Molecule: long non-coding RNA, 220 nt
Filed under: Salvia miltiorrhiza (redroot sage)
Lineage: Eukaryota; Viridiplantae; Streptophyta; Magnoliopsida; Lamiales; Lamiaceae
Description: long non-coding RNA (SMIL_LNC013732)
Source: RNAcentral
UUGAAGUUGUCUCAUGCCACCUUUCGUUGACUUACUUUCAACGUGGCACGUAUCUUUUCAGUCUAUCUUUGAGUUUCAACGAAACUACAGUCUCCCGAAGGAAACCAAAACAUUCGAGGUGUUCAAUCAUUUUCUGAUUCGUCAUUCUCAAGCAUCUAGGUUAUAGGGAUACCCUAUAAAUCCAUCAAUCUAUGUUCUUUUGCAAAUGUGAUCAUGUAAC